RNAcentral lists this long non-coding RNA (454 nucleotides) under Cricetulus griseus (Chinese hamster). RNAcentral's name for it is "lncRNA (ENSCGRG00015036917.1)". The record is from RNAcentral. Lineage: Eukaryota; Metazoa; Chordata; Mammalia; Rodentia; Cricetidae.
AUAUGAGGGAGAGCACUGCCAGAGGCAUCUGGAAGAGUCCAGAGCAGGGAGAGGAAGCAGUAGCUUGAACCUGGCCAGCAGACAAGACUGGGUCAUUGGAAUACUAUUCUUGUCCCUAACUUCUGCAUGAAAAAAGUGAAGCACAGGAAGAAGGUUCAUUAGCCUGUCCACACAGUGAAAGCACCCUCAGCAUGUAGCCCAGGCCUUGGGUACCAACGACUAUGUGUGCACUAACAACUACCUCAUACUGCUUCUAGGUGGACCACGGGGUAGCUGAAGCUGACGAUGAAUUUGAAGACCUGAUCAUCCUUUGUCUUCCACCUCUGCAUUGGCUUUGAUUGGCUGUCACCCAUGUUGGAGUGGGCUUUGGUGAUGCAGCUGUCUUUGAGGCAUUUCUGCUGCUGCUAGUAGCCCCUCCCCCAUACUCCUAUAAGUAACCCCCAUAAAUUUGUUG